UACAGAGGUCUCAAGCGUUGUUCGGAUUCAUUGGGCGUAAAGGGUGCGUAGGCGGCGCGGUAAGUCGGGUGUGAAAUCUUGGAGCUUAACUCCGAAACUGCAUUCGAUACUGCCGUGCUUGAGGACUGGAGAGGAGACUGGAAUUUACGGUGUAGCGGUGAAAUGCGUAGAUAUCGUAAGGAAGACCAGUGGCGAAGGCGGGUCUCUGGCCCGGUACUGACGCUGAGGUGCGAAAGCGUGGGGAGCAAACAGG
Molecule: ribosomal RNA, 253 nt
Filed under: uncultured bacterium
Lineage: Bacteria
Description: partial 16S ribosomal RNA
Rfam family: Bacterial small subunit ribosomal RNA
Source: RNAcentral